CCCAGUUCGGAUUGCAGUCUGCAACUCGACUGCAUGAAGCCGGAAUCGCUAGUAAUCGCGGAUCAGAAUGCCGCGGUGAAUACGUUCCCGGGUCUUGUACACACCGCCCGUCACACCAUGGGAGUCGGAAAUGCCCGAAGCCGGUGGCCUAACCGAUAAGGGAGGAGCCGUCGAAGGCAGGUCUGAUGACUGGGGUGAAGUCGUAACAAGGUAGC
RNAcentral lists this ribosomal RNA (215 nucleotides) under uncultured bacterium. Its description in RNAcentral is "partial 16S ribosomal RNA". It matches the Rfam family "Bacterial small subunit ribosomal RNA", at positions 1287 to 1500 of the family's 1533-position model. The record is from RNAcentral.